GGUCUCUGUCCAAUCAUCACUGUCAUCAGUCUCAGGUUGUAAAUGUGUAUCUGGAUCUGAGUUCCUGGCUGGUUCUGCUCCUCCACAGUCCUCUCCCUCUGCUUCUGUUUCCAUCUGUUCAGUGUGUCUUUGAUGAACCUGUGAGGACUGAGGUUUCUCUUCAUCAUCUUCACUCUUCACAGGGACAGGAGUGGAUGUGAACUUGGUGAUAUCAUCCUCCUCCAGCCCUUGAAGCUGCUCUCCCUCCUGACUGAUCCAGAGUUCCUCCUGUUCCUCUUU
Long non-coding RNA from Epinephelus fuscoguttatus (brown-marbled grouper), 279 nucleotides. RefSeq lists it as uncharacterized. The transcript is spliced from 3 exons. The record is from RefSeq and is a predicted model, not a curated record. Lineage: Eukaryota; Metazoa; Chordata; Actinopteri; Perciformes; Serranidae.